Molecule: ribosomal RNA, 253 nt
Filed under: uncultured bacterium
Lineage: Bacteria
Description: partial 16S ribosomal RNA
Rfam family: Bacterial small subunit ribosomal RNA
Source: RNAcentral
UACGUAGGGGGCGAGCGUUGUCCGGAUUCAUUGGGCGUAAAGCGCGGGCAGGCGGCCUGGUAAGUCGGCCGUGAAAGUCGGGGGCUCAACCCUCGAAUGCCGGUGGAUACUGUCGGGCUAGAGUGCGGAAGAGGCGAGUGGAAUUCCUGGUGUAGCGGUGAAAUGCGCAGAUAUCAGGAGGAACACCUAUUGCGAAGGCAGCUCGCUGGGACGUAACUGACGCUGAGACGCGAAAGCGUGGGGAGCAAACAGG